AUGCAAGUGAUAGAUACCCAUCACCAUGGAUUAAUUCUCCUUGUAGUGUUAGCAAGUAGUACUGGUGCUGUGGCGUUCGAUCUCACGUACGGUGAAGAGGAAGUUGUAGCCGAGCUCGAGGACGCGCUGCUGGAGCUCGAGCUUGGUCCAGACCAGUUCGAGGUACUGCCUGGACAUGAACCGGGCGGCGGAGGUGAGGUUCACGGUGGUCACCUCGAGGAGGUAGCAGUGCGGGUGCACGGCGACGCAGCGGCGGAAGCCGGCGGGGUCGAGGGCGACGACGAGGAGGUGGUCAAGGAGGUGCGCGGUGUCCUCGCCGUUGUUGAAGCUCUCGAGGUAGAGGUCGAGGAGGGAGCCCGGCCGCGCCCACGCCUCGUUCACCGACGUGAUGAUCACCGUCCGGUCCUCCGUGCACACCUUGGGCAGCAGCUCCGCGAGCCCCGGGAAUCUCUCCACCUGCGCGCGAAACCCCAAAUUAUAGUGGGCUAUUUUAGUUUCAGAUAUGAAAACCUACGCGUAGGAUACAAAAGGCUUGUAGCUAGGUUGUGUGAAGCUAGCCCACUCUGA
This 567-nucleotide ribosomal RNA is filed under the name Triticum aestivum (bread wheat). RNAcentral's name for it is "partial small subunit ribosomal RNA". The record is from RNAcentral. Lineage: Eukaryota; Viridiplantae; Streptophyta; Magnoliopsida; Poales; Poaceae.